RNAcentral lists this ribosomal RNA (543 nucleotides) under uncultured bacterium. RNAcentral describes it as "partial 16S ribosomal RNA". It matches the Rfam family "Bacterial small subunit ribosomal RNA", at positions 355 to 887 of the family's 1533-position model. The record is from RNAcentral.
UGGGGAAUAUUGCACAAUGGGCGCAAGCCUGAUGCAGCCAUGCCGCGUGUGUGAAGAAGGCCUUCGGGUUGUAAAGCACUUUCAGCGAGGAGGGAGGUGGUGAGCUUAAUACGCUCAUCAAUUGACGUUACUCGCAGAAGAAGCACCGGCUAACUCCGUGCCAGCAGCCGCGGUAAUACGGAGGGUGCAAGCGUUAAUCGGAAUUACUGGGCGUAAAGCGCACGCAGGCGGUUUGUUAAGUCAGAUGUGAAAUCCCCGGGCUCAACCUGGGAACUGCAUUUGAAACUGGCAAGCUAGAGUCUCGUAGAGGGGGGUAGAAUUCCAGGUGUAGCGGUGAAAUGCGUAGAGAUCUGGAGGAAUACCGGUGGCGAAGGCGGCCCCCUGGACGAAGACUGACGCUCAGGUGCGAAAGCGUGGGGCAGCAAACAGGAUUAGAUACCCUGGUAGUCCACGCUGUAAACGAUGUCGAUUUUGGAGGUUGUGCCCCUUGAGGCGUGGCUUCCGGAGCUAACGCGUUAAAUCGACCGCCUGGGGAGUACGGCC